AGCAGCCGCGGUAAUUCCAGCUCCAAUAGCGUAUAUUAAAGUUGUUGCAGUUAAAAAGCUCGUAGUUGAAUUUCGGGGUUAGUAGGUUGGUCAUGCCUCUGGUAUGUACUGAUCUCACUGAUUCCUCCUUCCUUAUGAACCGUAAUGCCAUUAAUUUGGUGUUGCGGGGAAUCUGGACUGUUACUUUGAAAAAUUAGAGUGUUUAAAGCAGGCUAACGCUUGAAUACAUUAGCAUGGAAUAAUGAAAUAGGACGUUCGAUCUUAUUUUGUUGGUUUCUAGGAUUGACGUAAUGAUUAAUAGGGAUAGUUGGGGGCAUUAGUAUUCAAUUGUCAGAGGUGAAUUCUUGGAUUUAUUGAAGACUAACUACUGCGAAAGCAUUUGCCAAGGAUGUUUUCAUUAAUCAAGAACGAAAGUUAGGGGAUCGAAGACGAUCAGAUACCGUCGUAGUCUUAACCAUAAACUAUGCCGACUAGGGAUCGGAUGAUGUUAAUUUUUAAUGACUCAUUCGGCGCCUUAAC
RNAcentral lists this ribosomal RNA (519 nucleotides) under uncultured Glomus. RNAcentral's name for it is "SSU rRNA". It matches the Rfam family "Eukaryotic small subunit ribosomal RNA", at positions 569 to 1092 of the family's 1831-position model. Lineage: Eukaryota; Fungi; Glomeromycota; Glomeromycetes; Glomerales; Glomeraceae. The record is from RNAcentral.